UAUUAUUUGGUUGGAGCAAAAGUUAUUGAGGUUUUUGGCCAUUGCUUUUAAUGGGAAAACCAGCAAUAACGUUUGCACCAAACUAAAUAAGUAA
This 94-nucleotide microRNA precursor is filed under the name Chlorocebus sabaeus (green monkey). RNAcentral describes it as "miRNA (ENSCSAG00000024574.1)". Lineage: Eukaryota; Metazoa; Chordata; Mammalia; Primates; Cercopithecidae. The record is from RNAcentral.